This 22-nucleotide microRNA is filed under the name Branchiostoma floridae (Florida lancelet). RNAcentral's name for it is "Bfl-Mir-281_5p* (star (passenger))". Lineage: Eukaryota; Metazoa; Chordata; Leptocardii; Amphioxiformes; Branchiostomatidae. The record is from RNAcentral.
GGGAGAGCCGUUCCGUGACUGU